RNAcentral lists this long non-coding RNA (1877 nucleotides) under Carassius auratus (goldfish). RNAcentral's name for it is "lncRNA (ENSCARG00000065232.1)". Lineage: Eukaryota; Metazoa; Chordata; Actinopteri; Cypriniformes; Cyprinidae. The record is from RNAcentral.
AUGAUAGCUAAUACUGAUUCUAUCUAUCUAGAUCCUCCUGAGAUUAAAAGUGAAUCUUCUUGCCAGACUAAGACUUUGACUGUCUGUGACUGCAUUGUGGACUCCAACCCCCCCAGUGAAGUCAAGUGGUUUGGUCCAGAUUCCUUGGAAACCUUCUCCAGCACCAGCAUUAAACAAACUGAGUCUUUUACCAUAUUCACCCUCCAGGGUUGGCUGGGUUUCCCUGAGACUGUCCAGUGCUUCGCCAAUAACACUCUGGGAAAUUCUUACAUAACUUUAGAAGCUCCUCAAAAUGGCAUUAUGAUACACAUUGCUGUUGCAUCUGUUGCAGUUGUUUUAGUCUGCAUUUUAGUGUAUGUUGUGAGAAAACGCUGGCAACGAUCUCGCUCUCUCGGUCACUCUCUCAUAAGCUACACAUCAUAGUUUGACUCAAAAAAGACCACAUCACUGCAGAUUGAUGGUACUCACUUUGGUCACCCACUACUACAAUGCCAGCGGUCAUGUCCUUGAUGAAUUCCUCUUCAGAACCUGUGUGCUUUGAUCAAAACAACGGGAAGUGUUAAAAUAUGUCUUACAGUAUUAACAGUUAUCGAACUCAAAUAAAUGUGCACUUAUAAAGUAAAUAAAUUCAUUUACAAUUUGUCCAAGCUCCACAAUGUCACAGUCAUUCCCAUUAUGCCUGCAUAGCACUUUGAUGGAAACAACCAUAAAAGAACUUGCUGAGGUACAUCCACAAGUAUUCUGUGCUUAUCUUCUGUCGAUCCAGAAUAUCAAUAACAUGGACAAUACACAAACAUGUUAAAACAACACUAUAAAUAAAAAUAAAUAAAUCUUGAUAGAGAAAGCCAAAAUAUCAUUGCAAGUUUACAUUUAAAUUACCAAAACCAUAUUUAACAAUCCAGAAAAGGCUUUUAAAUGGCACAACACAGGAAAUUAGAACAAAACAGCUAAUUUUACACAUUGUGACAAUACUUAUUGCAGGGCUGUUUAUACAAGAUAUAUGUCAUCAUUGCUAUUCAGACCAUUGAUUUGAUAACUGACAGUAUAUUCACGCAGCGUUGCGAUGGGUUCUGGUGAGGCACUUCAAUAACCUGGAUAUACUUCAUUAUAAGAGGAACCUUCACACAUCAGCUACAGUAGCUAUUAAAACUGAUAAAAACACUCUGGAGACUGCAGGUGCCUUAACAUUUACAAUUAAAAGAAAAUAUUGCACCAAUAAAAUGUAUAAUGUGACUUUAAUUACUUAAAUUAUCUCUGGGUCGGAGGACUAAAAUUUACAUUAAUAAAUGGAGAACAAACAAGUAUUUCAUUAAAUGAAUUGUUUACCCGAAAAUGGAAAUUUCUUGAACAUUUACUCCCCCUCAGGCCAUCCAAGAUGCAGAUGAGUUUGUGUGUUCAUCAGAGCAGAUGUGAAGAAAUUUAGCAUUACAUAAUUUGCUCACCAUUUGAUAAAAACACUGAAAUAAUCCAGAACACCAGUCCAGUAAUUAAUGCCGUGCAAGGUGAAAAGCUGUAUGUUCGCAAGAUGUUUUUUGUUUUUUUGUAAGACUGUCAUUUUUGGGUGGACUAUUCCUUUAAUGUAAAUUCAUGUUAUGUGGUUUUAGUUAGCUUAGUUGUGGAGGAAAAUAAAACACAAUAUUAAACCAAAACCUCCUGGCAUGUAUUCUGCAUCAAGCUUGUUAAAGACUUGCUAUUAGGUUCAAUUAUAUGCAAUCUUCUAUGCAAUAAUUCAAUGUAAUCCAAUAUUAUAUGGCAGUUUCAAGUGUUUCCUGGAUACUCAAUUCUGAACCAGAAUGUUAUGUAAUUCCAAAUUAACAUUUCUGUUUCUAAAUAAAUUAACAGUUUCAUUUUCUAUUAUUAUAUAAAACUCAUCUUAA